UUUCUGUAGGUGAACCUGCGGAAGGAUCAUUCAUAAUAAGUGUUUUAUGGCACUUUUUUAAAUCCAUAUCCACCUUGUGUGCAAUGUCAGGGUUGAUUUUUCUCUCGAGAGGAUCAACCCCAAACAUCAACUAUAUCUCAACUCUUUGUCUGAAAAAUAUUAUGAAUAAAACAAUUCAAAAUACAACUUUCAACAACGGAUCUCUUGGCUCUC
RNAcentral lists this unclassified non-coding RNA (213 nucleotides) under plant metagenome. Its description in RNAcentral is "partial contains small subunit ribosomal RNA, internal transcribed spacer 1, and 5.8S ribosomal RNA". The record is from RNAcentral.